RNAcentral lists this ribosomal RNA (290 nucleotides) under uncultured bacterium. RNAcentral's name for it is "partial 16S ribosomal RNA". It matches the Rfam family "Bacterial small subunit ribosomal RNA", at positions 505 to 796 of the family's 1533-position model. The record is from RNAcentral.
GUGCCGCGCCGCAGUACUACGGAGGAUGCGAGCGUUAUCCGGAUUCAUUGGGUUUAAAGGGUGCGUAGGCGGCUUCUUAAGUCAGUGGUGAAAUCCUGCGGCUCAACCGUAGAACUGCCAUUGAAACUGGGAAGCUUGAAUACAGAUGAAGUAGGCGGAAUGAGUAGUGUAGCGGUGAAAUGCAUAGAUAUUACUCAGAACACCGAUUGCGUAGGCAGCUUACUAAACUGAUAUUGACGCUGAGGCACGAAAGCGUGGGGAGCGAACAGGAUUAGAAACCCCAGUAGUCC